AGACGUCUACAUUAGACUACCCCGUAGUCCCAGCCGUAAACUAUGCUCGCUAGGUGUCAGGCAUGGCGCGACCGUGUCUGGUGCCGCAGGGAAGCCGUGAAGCGAGCCACCUGGGAAGUACGGCCGCAAGGCUGAAACUUAAAGGAAUUGGCGGGGGAGCACAACAACGGGUGGAGCCUGCGGUUUAAUUGGACUCAACGCCGGACAACUCACCGGGGACGACAGCAAUAUGUAGGCCAGGCUGAAGACCUUGCCUGAAUCGCUG
RNAcentral lists this ribosomal RNA (265 nucleotides) under uncultured archaeon. RNAcentral's name for it is "partial 16S ribosomal RNA". It matches the Rfam family "Archaeal small subunit ribosomal RNA", at positions 717 to 982 of the family's 1478-position model. The record is from RNAcentral.